AACGAACGCUGGCGGCAUGCCUAACACAUGCAAGUCGAACGAGACCUUCGGGUCUAGUGGCGCACGGGUGCGUAACGCGUGGGAACCUGCCCUUAGGUUCGGAAUAACUCCCCGAAAGGGGUGCUAAUACCGGAUAAUGUCUUCGGACCAAAGAUUUAUCGCCUUUGGAUGGGCCCGCGUUGGAUUAGCUAGUUGGUAGGGUAAAAGCCUACCAAGGCGACGAUCCAUAGCUGGUCUGAGAGGAUGAUCAGCCACACUGGGACUGAGACACGGCCCAGACUCCUACGGGAGGCAGCAGUGGGGAAUAUUGGACGAUGGGCGAAAGCCUGAUCCAGCAAUGCCGCGUGAGUGAUGAAGGCCUUAGGGUUGUAAAGCCCUUUUACCCGGGAUGAUAAUGACAGUACCGGGAGAAUAAGCUCCGGCUAACUCCGUG
This 433-nucleotide ribosomal RNA is filed under the name uncultured bacterium. RNAcentral's name for it is "partial 16S ribosomal RNA". It matches the Rfam family "Bacterial small subunit ribosomal RNA", at positions 29 to 507 of the family's 1533-position model. The record is from RNAcentral.